CAGUCGCCGCGGGAAUACGAAGGGGGCUAGCGUUGUUCGGAUUUACUGGGCGUAAAGCGCACGUAGGCGGAUCGAUCAGUCAGGGGUGAGAUCCCAGAGCUCAACUCUGGAACUGCCUUUGAUACUGUCGAUCUGGAGUACGGAAGAGGUGAGUGGAAUUCCGAGUGUAGAGGUGAAAUUCGUAGAUAUUCGGAGGAACACCAGUGGCGAAGGCGGCUCACUGGUCCAUUACUGACGCUGAGGUGCGAAAGCGUGGGGAGCAAACAGGAUUAGAUACCCCUGUAGUCCCUGUCUCUUAUAA
RNAcentral lists this ribosomal RNA (301 nucleotides) under uncultured bacterium. RNAcentral's name for it is "partial 16S ribosomal RNA". It matches the Rfam family "Bacterial small subunit ribosomal RNA", at positions 509 to 809 of the family's 1533-position model. The record is from RNAcentral.